GGGAAGGUGCCAGCGCGGGGGUUUGCACGGCGGGGGGGCGGUGCUCUCUAGGGGCCAGUUUCUCUCGGGCGUCUCCGUGAAGCCUCCGUGAAGAGGCAAACACGAGGGGCUACGUUUACGGGAAGCUUGAAGUCAUAAGGGUGUUCUAGUGGUGAGAGAGUUUGUUUUCUCUAGAAACGCGUUGAAAAAAAAAUCAGCUUACUUUAUGUAAUUCAUCCGAGUAACACUUCCUGCCUCUCCGCCCCGGAGUUGUUCGCCGAAAAGUAGUAUGUAAACAAGAAGUGGACUCUUUUUUUUCCACCCCUGUGUGCCUUGAGCUAGUUUUGCGAGAUGAACACUGUAAACGAAGAAGUUAAGCCAGCAGAUGCUAAACCGGAAUCUGAAAAAUUAUUUCAUUAUUGUGAAUGAGGAGAUGUUUAGAAAGCUAAGAAUCCAGACAGUGGAGGGGGGAGUGAAGGAGAGACUCUUAAAAGGUUCAUACCACUUCUUAUUUUUAAAGAUGUAUUCAAGUAUUGUUUACAGGUAUGAUGCAUGCUACUUCUGGUCAUGUUAAUGGUGUGCUGUUAUUCUGAAUUUUGUGUGACUUGUGGUGUUUAAGCAAAUGAAAACCUUGACAGUUCUUGCUGUAAGCGUAGGUUUGUUUCCAGUUCUUACAGAUAUUUUAUAGUUGAUCAGUUAUAGCAAAACUGAUGAUAUGUUUUCAGUUUAUCCUUUCAGGUUUUUAAAGUUCCACGUAUGAGUUCUAUAAGGCCUCAGUGGCACUAUCAUGGUGCAAAGCAUAGAAAGGUAACCUUUUCCCAUAUUGUGUAUGUAUAUGCAUAUUUAGUUGUAAGAAGUCUUGUAAAAAAAUCUUUGUAAAUUCUUGUAAAAUUGAGUAAUUGAUUUUUCCAUGUCUUCAAAUGCUUAUGUGACUCACUGGUAGAUCUGUAACACCAAUUUUCUUGAAAAGUCUCAAGAAAAAAUUUUGAGGUGGUAUGGAAGCAUGGAAGUUCUCAAAUAAGUCUUUCGGUGCCUACUUCACAAAAUAUU
This 1029-nucleotide long non-coding RNA is filed under the name Struthio camelus australis. RNAcentral's name for it is "lncRNA (ENSSCUG00000014939.1)". The record is from RNAcentral. Lineage: Eukaryota; Metazoa; Chordata; Aves; Struthioniformes; Struthionidae.